This 449-nucleotide ribosomal RNA is filed under the name uncultured bacterium. RNAcentral describes it as "bacterial SSU rRNA". It matches the Rfam family "Bacterial small subunit ribosomal RNA", at positions 329 to 793 of the family's 1533-position model. The record is from RNAcentral.
UGCCAGACUCCUACGGGAGGCAGCAGUGGGGAAUAUUGCACAAUGGGGGGAACCCUGAUGCAGCGACGCCGCGUGGGUGAAGGGGUAUUUCGGUAUGUAAAGCCCUAUCAGCAGGGAAGAACAAUGACGGUACCUGACUAAGAAGCACCGGCUAAAUACGUGCCAGCAGCCGCGGUAAUACGUAUGGUGCAAGCGUUAUCCGGAUUUACUGGGUGUAAAGGGAGCGUAGACGGCGACGCAAGUCUGGAGUGAAAGCCCGGGGCCCAACCCCGGGACUGCUCUGGAAACUGCGGCGCUGGAGUACGGGAGGGGCAGGCGGAAUUCCUGGUGUAGCGGUGAAAUGCGUAGAUAUCAGGAGGAACACCGGCGGCGAAGGCGGCCUGCUGGACCGUGACUGACGUUGAGGCUCGAGAGCGUGGGGAGCAAACAGGAUUAGAUACCCCUGUAAG